AGUAAUAUAAGCUAAAUAAGCUAUUGGGCCCAUACCUCAAAGAUACUACUGGUUAUUACUA
Molecule: transfer RNA, 61 nt
Filed under: Trichuris sp. GHL-2013
Lineage: Eukaryota; Metazoa; Nematoda; Enoplea; Trichinellida; Trichuridae
Description: tRNA-Met
Source: RNAcentral